CUCAGUUCGGAUUGAAGUCUGCAACCCGACUUCAUGAAGCUGGAUUCGCUAGUAAUCGCGCAUCAGCCACGGCGCGGUGAAUACGUUCCCGGGCCUUGUACACACCGCCCGUCAAGCCAUGGGAGCCGGGGGUACCUGAAGUGCGUAACCGCAAAGAGCGCCCUAGGGUAAAACUGGUGACUGGGGCUAAGUCGUAACAAGGUAAC
This 206-nucleotide ribosomal RNA is filed under the name uncultured bacterium. RNAcentral describes it as "partial 16S ribosomal RNA". It matches the Rfam family "Bacterial small subunit ribosomal RNA", at positions 1287 to 1500 of the family's 1533-position model. The record is from RNAcentral.